CCUACGGGUGGCUGCAGUGGGGAAUAUUGCACAAUGGGGGAAACCCUGAUGCAGCGACGCCGCGUGAGUGAAGAAGUAUUUCGGUAUGUAAAGCUCUAUCAGCAGGGAAGAAACCCACCCUCCGGGGUGGCUGACGGUACCUGACUAAGAAGCCCCGGCUAACUACGUGCCAGCAGCCGCGGUAAUACGUAGGGGGCAAGCGUUAUCCGGAUUUACUGGGUGUAAAGUGAGCGUAGGUGGCAAGGCAAGUCAGAUGUGAAAACCCGGGGCCCAACCCCGGGAGUGCAUUUGAAACUGGCUGGCUAGAGUGCAGGAGAGGUAAGUGGAAUUCCUAGUGUAGCGGUGAAAUGCAUAGAUAUUAGGAGGAACACCAGUGGCGAAGGCGGCUUACCGGCGCUCAACUGACGCUCAUGCACGAAAGUGUGGGGAGCGAACAUGAUUAGAUACCCCGGUAGUC
This 457-nucleotide ribosomal RNA is filed under the name uncultured bacterium. Its description in RNAcentral is "partial 16S ribosomal RNA". It matches the Rfam family "Bacterial small subunit ribosomal RNA", at positions 338 to 795 of the family's 1533-position model. The record is from RNAcentral.